AGCCCUGAGUAUCCUGGUCUCCUCUCAAAGCCUGUCUUGCACUCUCGAGGCCUGGCUCUGUGGUUCCACGCACGGGCACCAGAGGGCGGUAUGGAGCUUGGUGGCUCUCAGCCACGGGGCUCUGUGAGCAGUUGCUUUGUGACCCUGGCGCACUCAGGUUGCUGGCCAGGUCACAGGCCCCCACAGAAGGGCUCUGGCGAGCCCCUAAAAGCGUACCUCUGUGGCCCCGGAUCCUGCUUGUGAGAAAUAGAAGUCCGGGUGUCCAUUUUCAGCAUGUAGUAUUCAGCCUUAUUGGGAAGUAAGAUCAAAUUGUAGCCAUUUUAACUAUAGCCCUUCCCUUUGCCCACUCCCAAUUUCAAUGAGCCAUUUUCAGAUUGUGACCCCAGCUCCUCCUGUCAGGGCCAGGGGCAGCGCUGCGCGGUGGCUUGCUGGCCGGGUGCCCUGCCCGCCCACCUCGCAGCCUGUGUGGGUUUCUGGCAGCUCCACUUGGUACGUCCAACACUGCCACCUGCUGGAGACCUGCUUCAGGCCACCCCACGGCUCUGCGGCAGCGUCCUUUAAUAACUGACACAAAUUCACUGCACCAAGGGGAUCCACCCACUUCAGGCAAACUGACUGAGUCGUGCCACCCUGGCUAGAAUCCAGUUCUAAAACCUACAAAGACCCCUCCUGCCUGUUUGCCUGUGACCUCCACACACGACUGUUUGGGUGAGGACCAGCCGCCAGCUGCGGCCUCCGUGUGGCAUGGCACGUCCUGCCGGGUGCUUCCCCCAGGUGGGGAGUUCCCCAGCCUCGCCUGCCCAGGGCGCACCACUGGUCCCGCCUGGGCGUCCCCUCCUCCCGGUUUCCCAGCCCCACAGCAGCCACGCCCUGUCCCAGCUGCUCAGGUGGACACCACACUGGGUUCUCCUGGUUUUUCUUUCCUUUGUCACAACCGAAAUCUAGUCCCUCGGGCAAUUCCGUCCCUGCUUUUGCUUCGACCUCUCUGGUACCGUCUCCCUUUGCCCUCGCUGGACUCUGGCAGCAGAGUCCACCCUCCUGCAGAGGGGGAGCCUGCUACUCAGCCCCGGUGUGCCAGGUGUGGGGGUGGCUGGGGCACCGAGAGUGGGUUGCCCAAUGCAGGGCACCUGUCCAACGGCGUGGGUCAGAAUGGCUGGAGCAGGGUGCCCUGAGCCAACACACCUUUUUACAUCUUUCAGUUACUGUUUCAAAUGUUCAGUUACCAAAGCAUCACCGCUGCCUGUCCCUGGGCCCCCCUGCCCCCUGCACCGUCCUCCUUACAUCGGGGUCUCAGGCUGCCUGAGUGUUACAGGCUGAGUGACCCUGCUAACCCACGGCUCAGGUGCAGCCCAUCCAGAGCCCGCUGAGCUGAGCGGAGGGAGGUGACCUGGUCACUGAGAGGAGAUGCAGGGAAUGUGGCCAGGCUGGCCAGCGACUUCACACUGUCCGUCUCCAGAACCACCAGAGUAGACUCCUGUUGUCGCAGUCCCCAGGGUUCUGGCCAGGACAUGAGCACGGGAGGGAACCAGAGUCGUUUGGGAGCCGAGGUCACCAGCUGGGGUCCUGGGCAGCUGAGGUCCUGGGCAGCUGUGGUCCUGGGCAGCUGUGGUCUUGGCUGCGGACAUCUGGUUUGUUGUUUUGGUGGUGCUGACAGAUGUGCCCAGUCCUCGCUGUGGGCGGAGGGACACCCGCCUCUCCAUUCACACUCUGUGCUCUGUUGGCCGGGACGCUGAGUGGACCCCGAAACGGCACUUGCUCGAGCCCAUUUUCCAAUGGACGGAGUGACCUUCAACAGAGAUGGAGGUCACUAAACCACCCAGUGGCCUCCCCUCAACUCUCAAUGGACAUUCUUCUCCACCCUGAGCUCCCGGGCAUGGUCUGUCACCACUGUGACCUGAUGUCCACCAGCCACCGAGAGCAUCCCGUCGUAAACACGGAGGAACCAGCUGAUGUGACAUUAGGAUGACUGGUCCUGUCCGUGGGCACCACUGGGUGGGGUGCGCUGGGGUGGGAUUGGAGUGGGUCUCCCAAGCCUUCAUUGUUGACACUUAUUCUUGUUUAAUGUUUUAAUUGGCACAUCACAUCCUAUGUAAUGGUGGGAGUCAUUGUCACAGACUCAGACAUGGAUACGACGUAAUCUGGCCAAUGGCCUUCCCUAGCACUUCCCUGUCCCUCUUCGCCUCCCUCCCUGGUCUGUGUUGGAUUCAAUCCUGUCGUGAGACAUUAACUGACUGUGGGGUUUAGAGGUGGGGCCUUCGGAUCCAAGUCCACAGCCCUUGACGGAGCCCUGGAGGCUAGGAGAAGAGGGAGAGAGACGAGACCCCUCUCCACACCUGACGAGUGAGAAGGACAUUUCAGAAAGAGGAAUAAAGGCAGACUGAGUGACUGGAA
This is a non-coding RNA of Marmota flaviventris (yellow-bellied marmot), 2391 nucleotides long. NCBI's taxonomy places the organism in Eukaryota, Metazoa, Chordata, Mammalia, Rodentia, Sciuridae. The record is from RefSeq and is a predicted model, not a curated record.